This 428-nucleotide ribosomal RNA is filed under the name uncultured bacterium. RNAcentral describes it as "bacterial SSU rRNA". It matches the Rfam family "Bacterial small subunit ribosomal RNA", at positions 355 to 775 of the family's 1533-position model. The record is from RNAcentral.
UGGGGAAUAUUGCGCAAUGGGGGUAACCCUGACGCAGCCAUGCCGCGUGAAUGAAGAAGGCCUUCGGGUUGUAAAGUUCUUUCGGUGAUGAGGAAGGCUUAAAUGUUAAUAGCAUUUAGGAUUGACGUUAGUCACAGAAGAAGCACCGGCUAACUCCGUGCCAGCAGCCGCGGUAAUACGGAGGGUGCGAGCGUUAAUCGGAAUAACUGGGCGUAAAGGGCACGCAGGCGGUGACUUAAGUGAGGUGUGAAAUCCCCGGGCUUAACCUGGGAAUUGCAUUUCAGACUGGGUCGCUAGAGUACUUUAGGGAGGGGUAGAAUUCCACGUGUAGCGGUGAAAUGCGUAGAGAUGUGGAGGAAUACCGAAGGCGAAGGCAGCCCCUUGGGAAUGUACUGACGCUCAUGUGCGAAAGCGUGGGGAGCAAACAG